Long non-coding RNA from Microtus ochrogaster (prairie vole), 1185 nucleotides. RefSeq lists it as uncharacterized. Lineage: Eukaryota; Metazoa; Chordata; Mammalia; Rodentia; Cricetidae. The transcript is spliced from 3 exons. The record is from RefSeq and is a predicted model, not a curated record.
AGCGCCUGCUUUGGCUGAGGAAGCUAGUUUCCCAUCGUGGAAAGGCAGUGAGCGUGCUCCUCAGUGCUGGCAGCUAUGUGGCUUGCGGCAAGCUCAAGCACCUUGGAAAAGCAUGGACCCAGGCUCCAUGCACCCCCAAGACAUUACUGGUUGCCCAAGGGCCUGUGAGCAUUGCACCUCUGCUUGGCUCACCUUUUCCCUGGAGGCUUCCCAGCCUCCUCCAUGCUUCCUGGUGGUCACUCUGUCACACCACAACAGGCAGAUUUCGCCAGGGUCUGAAGCACCUUUCUUCCUUUAUUACUGCCUGUUUUCCAGUUUUGCUUGAAGGCUUUAAAGGUCACGUCUUGUACCCUACACCCUGACCCUGGAUCAGAACCUGUGCACCUUCGGUAGAUGUGGCGCACACAGGAGUUGAAUGAGAGAGAAAGAAAAGAAGGGAGAGAGAAAGAGGUGGAGAAGAGCUAGAUCUGGCAGCCUUGCGAGGGGGAGAGCAGGAAGCAUGGCCUAUGGGAUUAGCGGGCCGGAAAUCCUCCAGGAGACUUCAACUCCUAAGCCUACUUCCUCACCACCGACGGCGUGAAACUCUAGCCUUCCUCGGGGAGACAUGGAUUGCUUGGCCCAUACCCCCGUCUCUACCAAGUCCAGAUGCUGAUGCUGCUGCUGUCCUGGUGACCACACUUGGAGAAUCACUGAUGUGGAGCAAACCAGGUGCAGGGUCAGUGGGAAGUCAGGUGUAGACCACGAACUCUCCCAGACACUGCUGCGGCUCAGUUUUCUCGUCUGACCGUGAAGAACAGCAGGCUGCCUACCGUUGUGGCUGUAAGGACUGCAGGACACAGGAGCGCAAAGAACACCGGCUCUUUUCCUAAAUGUUUGCUUCCUUCUCCCACAUCCUCAGGCUUGGUUGCUGUGGGUAACGUGGAUCUUUCCACCUCCCUGAGAAACAGGCCGUCCUAUGGUCAUGGAUGGGAAUUAGCACAGGAGGGGCCACGCGAGGGCUUGCUUUCCAGUGGCUGUGCUUAGUCCUGAAGGAGGAGACCCCAGGAACCCAGUUUCUCCUCCUGCUUGAGGAACCCCUUCAAGGCUAGCAGCCUCCAUCCCUUACCUGCAGUUACUAUAAUCAUAACACACUCAGUAGGAUAUUCUAUCAAGUGAUAUGUAAGAGCAUCAUAAAGGGCUCACACA